Molecule: non-coding RNA, 2623 nt
Filed under: Pongo abelii (Sumatran orangutan)
Lineage: Eukaryota; Metazoa; Chordata; Mammalia; Primates; Hominidae
Source: RNAcentral
ACUUGCUCUUUUUUCCUCCCAUUUUAGCAGCCAAGGAUGGGAAUUACACAGCGAAAUGCAGGCUAAUCAGCUAAAUCUAGAUUAAAUAUGCUAGUCCUUGGGGACCUUGAGCUGAAUUAAUGGAAACCGAGGUUUUUAAUGUUCCAGACUAAUUUUGGAAGCUCACUUCCAGCAGAGGCAAACUUGAGGCUGUCCAAAGGGAGCAGAUGGCAAGGCUUUCUCCAGGUACAUCAACUGCUGAAACAGCCCUCGGCAAAACCACGAGGAAGGAAUGCUCUUCCCUAGAGAUCCUGGUGGUGAAUUCUCUUAUAUCCUUCAAGUCUGCUCAAAUGUUACUUCUCAAACAGAGCAAGAAGAUCGAAGCAAAUGAACAAAGGUGGGAUCUGGUUCCAAUAAUGAAGAAUGUGAUGACUACAUGUAUAUCAUUCUGGAACAGAGAAAAGACUGCCUGCAGCAAUAUCUCUAAAAAAUAUCUGUGGCAGACUCAGUGGAUGGUCAAGUUUGGCUCUGAAACAAGUCUCCUCAUUUGUCAGAGAAAGGACAGAGAAGAUCCAGCUUAUGUGAUUAAUUCAAUGAUAUUAGUAGAGAUCAUCGAUACAAUGAUCAAAAUAAGAACAUUGCUUUUUGCAAAAUCAGAUUAAACUGCACUCCAAAACAAUACUGAAUCAUGUAAAAGCAGAACUUCCUCUCAGAGAUUUCUGUAUGCAAAGACAAAACAAUUAGGUCACAGGAUACCAUGUUCUUGAGACUGUAUGUCCUUAUUAAGUCACAUUUUCAUUCAGAUAUGUACAAGACCAUUUGGUAUUUGGUAAAAAGGUUAUGUUUAUCUGUGUUUUCCUGAAUAUAGAAUGAAUAUCUUUAUGACAAAAAGCUUUAGCUCAGAAGAAUCCUUAUCGCAUUUAAAAUAAUUAACAAUUAUAGUGCAUAAUGUAUAAUUCAAGGGUUUUCUGUAGCCCAUUUCCCAUCUACCCUGUCCCUGUCCCCACACUCCUUCCUCACCUCCACCCAACCUCCACCAGAGAUAAUUAAGCUUUUAAGAAUGAGAUCGAUCACUUAAAAGUAAUACAUUUUUACUUUAUUUCUUUAAUCCAUAUUUAGACUUUCCUACCUGCCAAAAACUUUGUAUCUUUUAAACUUGGUAUUCUACUUCUUUCUCUCAUCUCAAAUUAUACGCAAAUCAGUGUGUUAGAAAUUCCGGUGGGUUUAAUUGAACAGAAAGUUGGGUUAUCUUGUAUCCCCUCCUUUUUUUUUUCUUUUGGGACAUAACCUUUGUUUCCCACUUGUGAUUCAAGAAUCUAUCUUGGUAUGAUUCAAUACCUUUUAUCAGCUGGUUCUAAACAAGUUUCACCACCAUAUUGCCUCUUCAUUCUUCUGAAAAUACACUAUUUUCUAGUCAGGCCAAACUAUACAUUCUUUCCAGAGCUGACCACAUUUGUUAUGUUAAAUUCCUAGCUAAAUGCCUUCUCUAACAUUUACUACUUAUCCUUCUGGAUACAACCCCAAUGUCACCACCUCCUUGAGAGCACCCCUGAUUCCACAGGGUUAAGGGUCAGGGUGGCGUGGGAAGACCACACAUGUCCUCUGCCGUCAUUCAGAGGUAGGUAUAAGUGAAAUGGAAAAGUUCCCUGGUCCCCCUCACAGGACAGGGAACAGGUCCCCCUCACAGGACAGAGGUAUGGCUCUCUUUUUGGCUGAUAUGAGCUCAAACCCCUUACAAGAGGUGGAGCAUGCAGAUGGGCAGGUGCAGGAACCAGAGCGAGAGUUUUUGGGCUCCCGCCCCACAGCAGUGUCUAGAGGUGAGUUUCUGUGAUUCCCAAAACCCAAGUGGGCACAUGUUACAGUGUGCUCUUCUAGUGUUGCUGUCCAAGUGUUAACUAGCUUAGUGGACCCUCUGCCUUUUUGCAAGGGCAGAGGGCCAAUGUGACAGCUUUCUGUAUUCUGAGCUCUUGUCCAGCAUCCAGGAAGAAUCAGGUGACACAGGGACUUGAAGGAUGAAUGUGGGGGUUUUACUGAGUGGUGGAGGUGGUACUCAGCAGGAUAGAUGGGAAGCUGGACAGAGGAUGGAGUGGGAAAAUCAUCUUCCCCUGGAGCUUGGCCAUCCACUGGCUGAUUCUCUGACCAUCCCCAGCUGAACUCCUCCUAAUAGUCCCUCUCUUCUCUCCUCUGCUGCAUUGUUCUGCCAUCCAAUUUGCUAAUCUCCUCGUUUCCUUGUUUCCUGUCUCCUCAUCUGCUCCUGGAGCCUGGGGUUUGGAGUUUAUACGGGUACAGGACAGGGUGCAUGGCAGGUCAAAAGGCAACUUUUUGGGCAUGAAAACAGGAAUGCCUGUCCUGUAUCCAGGCUAGAGGGUGGGGUCUUUGCUGGGGAACUGCCCUCUUCUACCCAGUAUUUCCCUGUCUCCUUUCUGCAUCAUAAAGAUGUGUGGUACCAAGUUGGUGCAGACAUGAAAUUCAUCUGUUUCUUUAUGUUUUCUCCCUUUGCUCUAAAAGGGUCCAUAUUUGCCUGCAUUCUAGUGCUCACCACACCACAUUGGGGUCUUUAGUUAUAUGUCUGGUUUCUUCAGUAGACUAAUGGUGUUCCCUGUGCAAGAUUCUUAGAUGGGCCUCAAGAAAAUGGUUGAGUUGC